This 162-nucleotide transfer-messenger RNA is filed under the name Rikenellaceae bacterium. RNAcentral describes it as "partial transfer-messenger RNA". It matches the Rfam family "transfer-messenger RNA", at positions 209 to 374 of the family's 374-position model. From Rfam's summary of the family: Bacterial tmRNA, also known as 10Sa RNA or SsrA, is named for its dual tRNA and mRNA-like properties. Its role is to liberate the mRNA from a stalled ribosome. Lineage: Bacteria; Pseudomonadati; Bacteroidota; Bacteroidia; Bacteroidales; Rikenellaceae. The record is from RNAcentral.
UCGAGUGGUCGUGCAGAGGAGCGAAAAUUUUAACGACAUACGGGAUUGAAUAAUGUUUGUUCUGCGCAAUAUCUUUCCCCGACAAUUGAGUCAGAACUAAGUAUGUAGAAAACCUUUGGGUUCCCUGUUUGGACGAGGGUUCGACCCCCUCCAGCUCCACCA